Molecule: ribosomal RNA, 736 nt
Filed under: uncultured bacterium
Lineage: Bacteria
Description: bacterial SSU rRNA
Rfam family: Bacterial small subunit ribosomal RNA
Source: RNAcentral
GAUGAACGCUAGCGAUAGGCCUAACACAUGCAAGUCGAGCGGUAGAGGACUUCGGUUCUUGAGAGCGGCGCACGGGUGAGUAACACGUAUGCAACCUACCUACAACAGGGGGAUAGCCCGGAGAAAUUCGGAUUAAUACCCCAUAAUACAGGGAUCCCGCAUGGGAAUAUUUGUUAAAGAUUUAUCGGUUGUAGAUGGGCAUGCGUAACAUUAGCUAGUUGGUGAGGUAACGGCUCACCAAGGCAACGAUGUUUAGGGGAACUGAGAGGUUUAUCCCCCACACUGGAACUGAGACACGGUCCAGACUCCUACGGGAGGCAGCAGUGAGGAAUAUUGGUCAAUGGACGAAAGUCUGAACCAGCCAAGUCGCGUGAAGGAUGACGGCGCUCUGCGUUGUAAACUUCUUUUGUAGGGGAAUAAAAAGAGGGACGUGUCCCUUAUUGCAUGUACUCUACGAAUAAGGAUCGGCUAACUCCGUGCCAGCAGCCGCGGUAAUACGGAGGAUUCGAGCGUUAUCCGGAUUUAUUGGGUUUAAAGGGUGCGCAGGCGGUUUUUUAAGUCGGCGGUGAAAUUUUGCGGCUCAACCGUAAAAGUGCCUUCGAAACUGGAAGACUUGAGUAUAGAUGAAGUAGGCGGAAUUUGUGGUGUAGCGGUGAAAUGCAUAGAUAUCACGAGGAACUCCGAUUGCGCAGGCAGCUUACUAAGCUAUAACUGACGCUCAUGCACGAAGGCGUGG